RNAcentral lists this ribosomal RNA (492 nucleotides) under uncultured bacterium. RNAcentral describes it as "partial 16S ribosomal RNA". It matches the Rfam family "Bacterial small subunit ribosomal RNA", at positions 29 to 507 of the family's 1533-position model. The record is from RNAcentral.
AGUGAACGCUGGCGGUAGGCCUAACACAUGCAAGUCGAACGGCAGCACAGUAAGAGCUUGCUCUUACGGGUGGCGAGUGGCGGACGGGUGAGGAAUACAUCGGAAUCUACUUUUUCGUGGGGGAUAACGUAGGGAAACUUACGCUAAUACCGCAUACGACCUACGGGUGAAAGCAGGGGAUCUUCGGACCUUGCGCGAUUGAAUGAGCCGAUGUCGGAUUAGCUAGUUGGCGGGGUAAAGGCCCACCAAGGCGACGAUCCGUAGCUGGUCUGAGAGGAUGAUCAGCCACACUGGAACUGAGACACGGUCCAGACUACUACGGGAGGCAGCAGUGGGGAAUAUUGGACAAUGGGCGCGAGCCUGAUCCAGCCAUACCGCGUGGGUGAAGAAGGCCUUCGGGUUGUAAAGCCCUUUUGUUGGGAAAGAAAAGCAGCAGGUUAAUACCCCGCUGUUCUGACGGUACCCAAAGAAUAAGCACCGGCUAACUUCGUG